GACGAACCGUGCAAACGUUGUUCGGAAUCACUGGGCUUAAAGGGCGCGUAGGCGGGCCAGCCAGUCUGUGGUGAAAGCCUCCAGCUUAACUGGAGAAGUGCCGUGGAUACUGCUGGUCUCGAGGAGGGUAGGGGCAUCUGGAACGGUCGGUGGAGCGGUGAAAUGCGUUGAUAUCGACCGGAACUCCGGUGGCGAAGGCGAGGUGCUGGGCCCUUUCUGACGCUGAGUGCGCGAAAGCCAGGGGAGCAAACGGG
RNAcentral lists this ribosomal RNA (254 nucleotides) under uncultured bacterium. RNAcentral describes it as "partial 16S ribosomal RNA". It matches the Rfam family "Bacterial small subunit ribosomal RNA", at positions 524 to 776 of the family's 1533-position model. The record is from RNAcentral.